CCGUUUUGAGGCUGGGGGUGGAGGCGCGAUCUGUUUAGAGGAUCAGUACUCAGUUCCUUACCUUACAGCGUACACAGUCCUGUACAUAGUUUAGACAGGAAGUUGGAAGUAUUAUUGGGAAGAAAGGGGAGAUAGUUAAACGGAUUCGAGAACAGAGCAGUGCAAGGAUAAAUAUUACCGACGGAUCCUUCCUUGAACGUAUUGUUAGUGUCAUUGGGACAAAUCAGAGCCUUCAGAAGG
Long non-coding RNA from Eurytemora carolleeae, 240 nucleotides. RefSeq lists it as uncharacterized. The transcript has 3 exons. Lineage: Eukaryota; Metazoa; Arthropoda; Copepoda; Calanoida; Temoridae. The record is from RefSeq and is a predicted model, not a curated record.